Molecule: ribosomal RNA, 1039 nt
Filed under: Dictyocoela sp.
Lineage: Eukaryota; Fungi; Microsporidia
Description: SSU rRNA
Rfam family: Microsporidia small subunit ribosomal RNA
Source: RNAcentral
GAUUUAUUUGUUCUCCUGUGACGGACAACAUCGGGAAACUGAUGGGAAAACGUCUAAGUUGCAGUUAAUUGAUUGUGACGUAAACGAUUUUGUGCAGGAGAGUAAGAUGCCAUCCUAUCAGUUAGUAAGUAGGGUAAGGGCCUACUUAGACGAAGACGGGUACGGGGAAUGAGGGUUUGAUUCCGGAGAGGGAGCCUGAGAGAUGGCUACCAGGACCAAGGUCAGCAGCAGGCGCGAAAAUUAUCGAAGCCCGCCUAGGGGCGAUAGUGAGGAGACGUGUAUAACGAAGUACGUGUAAAGAACGUGCUAAUAACUGGAGGUCAAGUCUGGUGCCAGCAUCCGCGGUAAUUCCAGCUCCAGGGGUGUCUAUGAUGAUUGCUGCGAUUAAAAAGUCCGUAGUCAAUCUGACUGACUGACCUGCAAUGUGAUUGAUUAAAGAACGAGCAGGGUUAGGAAAGCAGAGAAUUAGGAGCGACCGAGGGCUAGAGUAUUGAAUGGCGAGAGGUGAAAUUUGAUGACCCAUUCAGGAGUGACAAAGGCGAAGGCACUAGUCAAGGGCGAAUCCGAUGAUCAAGGACGUAGGCUAGAGUUUCGAAAACGAUUAGAGACCGGAGUAGUUCUAGCAGUAAACUAUGCCGACGCCGUGGUAUUAUUUUAGUAUUGCGGAAGAGAAAUCAAGUAAGGCUUUGGGGAGAGUACGCGCGCAAGCGAUAAAUUUAAAGGAAAUUGACGGAGGAACACCACAAGGAGUGGAGUGUGCGGCUUAAUUUGACUCAACGCGGGACAGCUUACCAGGCCCGAUAAUCGAGCGAGCGUAGUACGCGAUAGGUUAAAGAGUGGUGCAUGGCUGCUAUCGACAGUUGGGGUGACCUUAGGGGUUAAUUCCGGCAAGUAGUGAGACCCCUGCAGAUAGUGGACAGGUAUUUUUAAAAUACAGGAAGGGAAGGGACAAGAGCAGGUCAGUGAAUGCCCUUAGAUGGCCUGGGGCCUGCCACGCGCACUACAGGGGUCCAUUAUUAAGGUAGAAGUUAGAAUAUAA